AGAAUCAACGCUGGCGGCGUGCCUAACACAUGCAAGUCGAACGAGAAAGGGGAGCAAUCCCUGAGUAAAGUGGCGCACGGGUGAGUAACACGUGACUAACCUACCCUGGAGUGGGGGGAUAACUGAGGGAAACCUUAGCUAAUACCGCAUAACACCUACGGGUCAAAGGAGCAAUUCGCUUUGGGAGGGGGUCGCGGCCGAUUAGUUAGUUGGCGGGGUAAUGGCCCACCAAGACAGUGAUCGGUAUCCGGCCUGAGAGGGCGCACGGACACACUGGAACUGAAACACGGUCCAGACUCCUACGGGAGGCAGCAGUGGGGAAUUUGCGCAAUGGGGAAACCCUGACGCAGCAACGCCGCGUGGAGGAUGAAGUACUUCGGUACGUAAACUCCUUUCGAUCGGGACGAUAAUGACGGUACCGGAAGAAGAAGCCCCGGCUAACUUCGUGCCAGCAGCCGC
This 459-nucleotide ribosomal RNA is filed under the name uncultured bacterium. RNAcentral's name for it is "SSU rRNA". It matches the Rfam family "Bacterial small subunit ribosomal RNA", at positions 26 to 518 of the family's 1533-position model. The record is from RNAcentral.